UCAGUAACACGUAGUCAACAUGCCCAGUGGACGUGGAUACCUCGGGAAACUGAGGAUAAACCGCGAUAGGUCACUACUUCUGGAAUGGGUAAUGACUAAAACCUAUAUGGCCCCUGGAUUGGACUGCGGCCGAUCAGGCUGUUGGUGAGGUAAUGGCCCACCAAACCUGUAACCGGUACGGGCUCUGAGAGGAGGAGCCCGGAGAUGGGCACUGAGACAAGGGCCCAGGCCCUAUGGGGCGCAGCAGGCGCGAAACCUCUGCAAUAGGCGAAAGCCUGACAGGGUUACUCUGAGUGAUUUCCGUUAAGGAGAUCUUUUGGCACCUCUAAAAAUGGUGCAGAAUAAGGGGUGGGCAAGUCUGGUGCCAGC
Molecule: ribosomal RNA, 369 nt
Filed under: unidentified archaeon
Lineage: Archaea
Description: bacterial SSU rRNA
Rfam family: Archaeal small subunit ribosomal RNA
Source: RNAcentral